RNAcentral lists this ribosomal RNA (634 nucleotides) under uncultured Marinobacter sp. Its description in RNAcentral is "bacterial SSU rRNA". It matches the Rfam family "Bacterial small subunit ribosomal RNA", at positions 870 to 1504 of the family's 1533-position model. The record is from RNAcentral. Lineage: Bacteria; Pseudomonadati; Pseudomonadota; Gammaproteobacteria; Pseudomonadales; Marinobacteraceae.
CGCCUGGGGAGUACGGCCGCAAGGUUAAAACUCAAAUGAAUUGACGGGGGCCCGCACAAGCGGUGGAGCAUGUGGUUUAAUUCGACGCAACGCGAAGAACCUUACCUGGCCUUGACAUGCAGAGAACUUUCCAGAGAUGGAUUGGUGCCUUCGGGAACUCUGACACAGGUGCUGCAUGGCCGUCGUCAGCUCGUGUCGUGAGAUGUUGGGUUAAGUCCCGUAACGAGCGCAACCCCUAUCCCUAGUUGCUAGCAGUUCGGCUGAGAACUCUAGGGAGACUGCCGGUGACAAACCGGAGGAAGGUGGGGAUGACGUCAGGUCAUCAUGGCCCUUACGGCCAGGGCUACACACGUGCUACAAUGGUGCGCACAGAGGGCUGCAAACCCGCGAGGGGGAGCCAAUCUCACAAAACGCAUCGUAGUCCGGAUCGCAGUCUGCAACUCGACUGCGUGAAGUCGGAAUCGCUAGUAAUCGUGAAUCAGAAUGUCACGGUGAAUACGUUCCCGGGCCUUGUACACACCGCCCGUCACACCAUGGGAGUGGAUUGCACCAGAAGUGGUUAGUCUAACUUUCGGGAGGACGAUCACCACGGUGUGGUUCAUGACUGGGGUGAAGUCGUAACAAGGUAACCGUA